UUCAGGCCUGGCACCGUGGCUGUCCCUACUCCCUCAACGUGGACGCGCACGUGCUGUGGUUUGAGAGGAUUGUUGUUGUCUGGUGCGGAGGGAUCCGGCUUUCAUCUGUAAGGUGGCGGUGUGAGAUAAGUUGUCUGAGUCGGAAGGUGCGAGUGCCCGAGGGAUUAUCACGUCCAAAGAUAUCCAUCAAGUUCUCCCUGGUGAAGAGUGAUGUUCAGAAGGAUGUAACUACAAGGAUGGGAUGUUGGAGCCUGUUUUUUCCCAUUAAGAAAAUUUUGGCUCAUUAUAAUCUGCCUACUGGAAGUAUAUUCUUUCAAUAUGAAUCUCUGGAGUGCCUUUGAAGAACUGAUUUGGCAUUUGUACAAUUGGAAACAAACAACUGCAUUUUGUAAUUACUGAGGCUUCAUUUUCUUGACACCUAACGUGACUUGAUCUUCCUCUGGCCCUCUUAUUCUUCCCCGAUUGGCAUCACCACAGCAGACCUAAGUCCCAUUUCAAAAUCCUAUAGGAUUUUAUAUCUCUAAGCCAGAUGUGAUUUCCUUAUUAGAGGAAAGGAGACAGCCCUGAAUGGUAGAGCAAGCAGUGAGUAAAUAGGCUCCAGGAAGAGGGAAGCCAUUACAGGUAAAAGCCCAGCUGGUGUGAAGAGCUAGAUCUUUAGGAUGUUCGAGAAACUUUCUUUAGCCUAAAUUCCCAAAGACACACACCAUCAUUCCAAUUCUGAUUGUGUCUGUAGCUACUUCGAUAAUUCUCUGAGGAUUAGCUUUAUAGACUUUGUAAUUAUAAAAGAAGUACAUACAGACCAUUAAAAUUCAGAAAACAUGGGGCGCCUGGGUGGCUCAGUUGGUUAAGCAUCCAACUUUGGCUCAGGUCAUGAUCUCACGGUUCAUGAGUUCAAAUCCCUUGUUGGGCUCUCUGCUGUCAGUGCAGAGCCUGCUUCAGAUCCUCUGUCCUCCUCUCUCUCUCUGCGCCUCCCCAGCUCACUCAUGUACUCUUUCACUCUCCCUCUCUCAAAAAUAAAUAAACUUUAAAAAGUGAAAUUCAGAAAACAGGGAAUCCUAAAAUAACAAUAGCCCACUGUGAACAUUAUAUUGUAAAUCUCUUUACCCUCCUUGUAUACACAGACUUUCUUUUCAAAAGUAGAAUUGGCUACGUGUUGCUAUUCUUCCUUACCUAACACAAGUGAACAUUUUUCCAUGCCAACAAGUAAAGGUCUAUAGCAUC
Molecule: long non-coding RNA, 1221 nt
Organism: Neofelis nebulosa (Clouded leopard)
Lineage: Eukaryota; Metazoa; Chordata; Mammalia; Carnivora; Felidae
Exons: 3
Source: RefSeq, a predicted model, not a curated record